RNAcentral lists this long non-coding RNA (35883 nucleotides) under Olea europaea (common olive). RNAcentral describes it as "long non-coding RNA (OEUR_LNC014764)". Lineage: Eukaryota; Viridiplantae; Streptophyta; Magnoliopsida; Lamiales; Oleaceae. The record is from RNAcentral.
UAAAGGUGAAGACAUCAGGUAUUGCACUGUACGUUGUUCUUCUACUAGCCGUAGCCGAGCCACUUUUUUUCGCGGCAGAAGGAUGUGUUAUUAGUGAACUGCAACCUUGCGCAUCUGCCAUCGCGUCCGGUACUCCACCUUCUGUAGAGUGCUGCACUAAUUUAAAGCAACAGCAGCCUUGCUUUUGCGAGUACCUCAAAGACCCAAGCGUAGGAGGGUAUGUUAAAUCUCCCAACGCCAAGAAGGUUGCUCGUGCUUGUGGAGUGUCCAUUCCCACUAAUUGUUAACUAUCUAUGCUUCUGUAGACUACUUAGGGAGUACUAUUCCCAGUAAAAGUAAUAUGGUAGCUAGCUUUAAUCAGAAUAAUGAUGCACUUGUGUCCAUCUUUUUAAUAAUGGAAAAUAAAUAACUCUUGGACCACCUAUCUUUUUAACCUAUUAGCAUGGGAUGUGUAAAGGUUGUUGGACAGGUCCACAAGUAUUAUUUAUAAUUGUUUCUCACUAUAUGAAUAUGUAUUUAUAAUAGAGAUAAUCGGAAAACUAUAUGUGAGAAUGAUGUGUUGGAAUUCUGAAACCACCUAUUAUUAUCUUAUUUCAAAUCUCUAUCCACGUUAUCUAGUGUAAUUUGUGUAUCAUUGACAACCGUUACUUCAAUUAUAUUUAACUCUAUCUCCCAAUGUGAAGUAACCAAACCUAUUUCUAAGAAUGACACGAGAAUAUCCCUGUAUUGAAUUCAUAUUAAAAAUAAUCCAUUCAUCUACACAAUUACCUCUCAUUAACAAAUCAAGCAACUAAUAAUCUAUAUGGUAAUUAAACAUUUAAAUAAUAAAUUAAGCAUGAAGUAUCAAUCAAGAACAGAAAUGAACUAAAUAACUAAUUUUGAAUUAAAAAUAAUCAAGCAAUAAGUUUCACCUUCAUCCCGACAUUAAAUAAUUUAUCCUAGCAUAAUCAUAAUAAAAUUACUGCAAGAAGUUUGGAAAUUCAUAAAAUACAAGAUAAAGAUGUAAAAUCAAUUUCUCGAGUCUUCAAUUCCAAGCCUCGAAUCUUAAAUUUCUUGAUGUUAAUUGCCUUCAAUUGUUUGCUAGAUUUGUUCUCCACAAUAGAUUACAAUAGAAUGUUGAAAGUAUAAGCUUGAGGUAGGUUAAAUCGCGAAAGCUACUAGUUCAACUUAUACUAUAAGUUAAAGUAGCUUACCUCUAGCUUAUUCCAGUGUGUAAAAGCAGAUUCUUAUGCUCGUGUGAAAAGCCCUGAAGAAAAAUUUGCGCCAUGCUAUAGCACAGUGGACAUCACUUAGCAUCAGUUCCUUUUAAAUGGGCAUUGCGAUCAAAUGCCUUCUACUUUUAGCCUUGAUCAAUUCAGUCCCUGGUCUUCUUCUUUUAAUUGGCUAAAGUUCAAGUAAUUUGCAAUUAAAUCCUUGAUUUCCAAUUCAUAUCCAAUUGGUCCUCAUCUCCAAAUUAAGUAAAUAUAACUCAUUUUAUCUCGAUUUCAUUCUUUUUUACCCAAGAUCAUCUAUAACAUCGAGAGUUUCACCUAAACAAACAAUAUUUACAUGAGAUUAAACUAUAAUUCCCUUAAAGUACUCCUAGAUAUCCAUGUGUUUACCUCUAAAUGAUGAUCAAACAAAUUACUCUCAACUAUCAAAUAUUUUUUGCUCAUAAACUUACUAUUCUACUAUUCAAUAGGGAGUAAGAAGAGAAAUGAAUAUUUGAGAAAAACUAUUUCAAAUUCAACAUAUCAUUCUUCAUCCCAAGCAUGCCUAUUUAUAGAUUUAUAUUUAGUCGUUGGAGCUAAAUGAGUAUUUUUAAUAGGCGAGAUGUGGUAGUUGUUGGUUAAGUGACUUCUAACUAAUUUUGUUUUCUUUUCACAUUCACCCACUAGCUUAAUCCUUAAGAUUUUGCUUAAGUAUAUUGGCUCGCAUCAUGUGAUUAAGGUCGCAUAUGAUAUUUCUCCCUCAUAAGUGCUUUUAGCUCAUUUUGAGUUUGCAUAUUUUUUUACCACUUCAGAGUAUUCACUUAGAUACUCUGGAUGAAUAUUUCAUAUAUAAGACUAUGUUUAAGCAUAUUAAUCCUUGAGGACUUCAUAAUGGUAUUAAGAUCUCGAUAUGGUUACUCUCGUUGACCCUCUGAAGUUAUAAUAUCUUUCACUAUUGAUUGUGAAGCAAUUCUAUCCACCUCAUACAGCAAUACAGACAGACCUGAUAAGUUAAUAUGAAACCUAGAGGCAAAUGCCUAGACAAAAGCGUGAACAAAUGAUAGAAAACUAGAUGUCUGAUGAGUUCACUAGCAGAAUUAGCUUAAACUCUUGGUAAAUAAAUGGCGAAAAGUUUCAACUCCUCCUAAGAUUGGAAUCUAUUUUUGCAGCACAUACAAUGAUGCGCUCAUAUUAGCAAUGCUAAAUGGGAAGUGGGAUAGAAUUGGAGCAUGCCACAUGCUAUUUUAGUGUGAUGCAUUUAAGUACGUAUAGAAAUAUUUGAAAAUUUUGGAGUGAGUGAGACGUAAAGAAUAUGCGAUGAACUAUUUAAGGGCUACAAUGAAGCCGAUUUGGGGCCAUUCUGAUGCAUCAUGCAUCCUAUGGAUAGUGUGUGGGUAAACAUAGCAUAGUAAUACAUGGAUCAAGCCUAUGAGAUGUGCAUGCAAUAUAAGGUUCAAUUAAUGUCUUGUUGGAAAAUGAAUGAAAGGUACGAUGAACCAAAAACUAGAUUCAAACUAUCAAGUAACUAGAUUGGAACCACGUCAUAGCAGGAGAUUGAAGUUUAAUAUUGUCGUUGAGGUUCAAAAACACUAGGGCGUUGUUAAUUUAUGGGAUGUGAUGCAAGUCAAGAAUUGGGUGGUGGCGGGCAUCCAAUCCAAGAGGAUAUCAGGGUUUCUGCAGCUACUGAUGGUGAGGCCAUUGCAUUUCAAGAAUGGCUAUUUUUGCAUGAGAUUAGGGCUACCAAUGACCUAUAACAGUGUAUGAAUCCUUUCAUGUCAUCACCAAGCUUCAGUCCGAGUUUGAUUGUGAUCCCUAUCAUGGAUAGUCCCUAACGAGCAACCAAUUUGGAACUAUUUUUUCCCACCCCAUCAACACCCCUGAUUCCUCCCCAAUCAUAGCCACCCUCUCCAACUGAUAAACACUUAAUUGUCCUCAGCAUUUCUGCUCAAAUUAAUGAAAAGCUAACACCCUUUUCCACAAUGGCGUGCCCAAUUUGAAGCCCUUUUUAUUCAGUAUGACCUCCUUGACUAUAUCACCGGAGACCAUCCACGCCCCAUUCCUAAUGGUUCCACUGCUUUUACUCUCCAAAAGACACACUAGGUUCGUCAAGAUAAGCUCAUCCUUGAUGCUGUUCUGGCCUCUACCACUAUGGCCAUUACCUUCCUUACCUUUGCUACCAAAGGUCCCAAGAGGCAUGGAAGAAAUUAAAUACCAUGUAUGCGAGUAAAUCAUGAACCUAAUCGAUGUAACUAAAUGAGAAACUUACCUUGAUUCAUCGGGACAAUCAUUCCAUACCCGAUUAUCUACAUACGUUGAAAGGCCUUGCAGAUGAUAUUUCCCUCAUUGAUCAUCCCGUAUAUAGUGAUGAUCUUAGCUUUUACAUUCUUCACAGUUUGGUCUCGAUUUCAGGAGAUUUUCAUCUCUAUUCGUGCUCGAGCGAACUCGCUGACCUUUGAAGAACGCUAUAAUCUCCUUGUUAACCAUGAAAGCUAGUUUUGUCACCUUGAAGCAAUCGUUCAGCACCUAGUUGCCACAGCCAAUUCCACCUAUUGAUACUCUAAUUUGCAUGAUGCAACUAGAAGUGAAAGCCCCUAGCAAUGUGGGUCUUAUAAGGCCAAUGGAUCUUUAGAGUCUUCAGCCUAUCUCACCCCUAACAACAUCGUGACAAUAGGAGGCCCCAAAACUCCACCUGUCGAUUUAAUUCAGGCAAGAGCCAUUAUCAGUCGAAAUGCCAGUUUCGUAAUCUAUUGUGAUUACUGCUCAAAAAAAUGUCCACCAUUACAUUCUUUCGAUAUCACCGUGAAUUGUUCCUCCAUUUCUCAACUAAAGAAAAUAAAUGGCUCAUUGAUUCUGGGGCAUCUCACAACAUUACUGAUGAUUUAGCAAAUUUGUCCAUCCAUUUUGAAUAUUAUUAAACAUAUGAGUUCGUAAUUGAUGAUGAAUCAAGUUUGUAUGUCACCCGUGUUGGCUCUUCGGAAUUUCAAACACCCAUCAUACUUCCCAUUUGGAUAAAGAACCUUGAGUUCCUAGCAUCUGCAAAAAAUUGAUAUCUAUCAAUACUAUCACCUAUCUUAUAAAUCAUCGACCCACACCCUUGUUAAGGAACAAAUCUCUCUAUGAAAUCUUACUUGGCCAACUUUCUAUUCACUAGGCCUUACGACACCCAUAAACUUCAGUUAAAAUUCAUUCUGUGCUUAUUCGUUGGCUAUUCUCAAACCUAAAAUGUAUACAAGUGUCUCAAUCUUAAAUCUAACAGCUUGUAUAUCUCUUGACAUGUUCUAUUUGAUGAGAGCCAAAGCCCAAUCUAAUUGCAAAUCACACAGAGUAAGUGCCACUCAUCUAUUCGGAUUGCAUCACAUUCGUUACCGUGUCAUAGCUUCAGACUAUGUUGAUAUUGCUUCCACAUCACCUUUGGGUAACUCUCGCCUUCCUUUUUAAGUCAAUCUACCUCACAUACACCCUAUACUAAUUUAACCAGCACCACCGUAAGGUCAUCUAUCAGGUUUAUCACCUGCACCGCUUUUUCUUAUCCUCAUCCCAUUGAUCACUCGCACUCCUAUCUAGAUAAAGCUAUCCCUGCCCCACCAUGAAGAACUCACGUAAUAGUUACUCGAUCCCAAAACCAUAUAUAUAAACCCAAACAAUUUAGUUCAAUCACAAAACAUCCUUUCCAACCCACCAAGGCACCAAUUGUGUAAGUCAACCAUGUUGUGAUCCCCCCAAUGGAGCUUUGCUAUGUCGGAUGAGCUCACUUCCAUCAUGAGGAAUUUUAUAUUAGAGUUCGUUCCAUUUUCUAAAGAAUGUAAUCCAAUAGAUGUUUCAGGAUAAGAGAAAGGUGGAUAGGUCUAGUGAUCAAUUUAAUUCUCGACUUGUGAAACUAGCUACUAUCAGAACUAUUUUGACAAUUGCUAUGAUAUAAGGGUGGUUAUUAAGAUAUCUUGAUGUGAAUAAUACAUUUUUGCAAGGUGAGUUGACUGGGAAUGUGUAUAUGGUUCAGCCUCCAGGAUUUAAGGAUACGUCCAACCCCGAUCACAUUUGUAGAUUGAGCAAUGCCAUUUAUGAUCACAAACAGGCUUCUCGAGUGUGGUACUCGACUCUAAAAUGUGCCUUGAUUAAGCUUGGUUUUCAAAAUUUAAAACUGAUUCAUCCUUGUUUAUCUAUUGAAAUAGUUCCAUUAUAUGAUAUUUUGUGGUUUACGUGGAGAGUCAUGCUACUUGUACAAAAUUAGUUGACAAAGUUGGUUUACAAAACGACAUUUACACCAAUCAUUUAAAAAACUCUUUUUAAAAUCAUUUCAAAUCAAAGGCCAAGUUUUGCCAACACUUGUUUUGUCAACCAUUUUCGUCAACUUGUUUUUGUACAACUAGAUUAAUUGUUACGUGGAUGACCUUGUUAUCGCAAUUGGUGACCCUAAGUUUGUCACUUCACCUAUUUAUGGUCUUGGUACACAAUUUUUUCUCAAAGACAUAGGAGACCUCCAUUUUUUAGGUGUGGAGGUCAUCUACACCACAGCAAGCUUAUUCUUGUCUCAGUACAAAUACAUCUAUAAUCUACCAUCUAAUACCAAUAUGCUUGGUGUCAAAGAUGUCUAUACUCCAUUGUCCACCGGAAUUUCUCUGAAAUUAAUUAAUGGUACCUCAAUUGUUAAGAGCACAUAAUUUCAUCGUGUGAUCGGGGCUCUUUAAUACCUCUCUCUCACACAGCCCGAUAUCUUCUUUGUCAACAACAAAAUGUCGUUGUUUAUACAUAAGCCAAAUAUCGCCCACUAGGCCACCACAAAGCGACUCUUUCACUACCUGAAGCAAACAAUCUUCCAUGGCAUUCAGUUCCUCAAGAAUGUAAACUCUGUUCUCACCACAUACUCAAAUGCUAAUUGGAUGAGCAAUCUUGAUGACCAUACAUCUAUCGUAGCUUAUAUAUCAGUUUUCUUAGCUCCAAUCCCAUCUCUUGGAGCUCCAAAAGAUUGCGGUUGGUCACCUGCUUAUCUACUGAGAUCGAAUAUAUGGCCUUUACCAAUGCUGCCUCUGACAUAUUGUGGUUGCUUGUGUUGUUCAAUGAGUUAGGAUUUCCACUCAAGAAUUUGCCAGCAUUGUUAUGUGAUAAUCUUUGUACAACGCAUUUAAGCUUUAAUCUGGUGCUACACUCAUUGAUGAAGUACAUGUAGAUUGACUUACACUUUGUUCAAAUAUUGUUCAGCGAAGUAUAAUCCAUGUUUGACAUGUCAACACCUGAGAUCCAUUGGCGAUCUUCUAAACAAACCGUUGUCGAGACGACGUACGGAAGUUCUUUGGAACAAGUUGGUCUAGCCGAUAGCCACUCCAUCUUGUGAGAUUGUAUUAAGGAUAAUCCCUCAAAUCAAACCAAAAACGAAAAUGAUUAUUCUUAGGCUUAAAUCAAGGAUAAUCAUAGAAUGUAAAUGUUAGGAAAUUGUAGUCACAGAAUUAGUCUAGUUGUUUAAAAUAGAUUUUGUAUGAUGUGUAUAAAGGUUGUACGAUCAUGUAAAUCAAAAGCGUGGAAAAAUCUUAUUGAUCAAGUAUUACAAAAACUAAUUCUACCCUAUAAUUUCUAUCAAUCCCAUAGCUGGAAUAUAUUCUGAUAUUUCAUCUUUGCUUUCCAUGUAAAUUAUGGGUCUUGUCAUUUAACCUUCCUUGAAGGAAAUGAAGUGGUCGACAGUGUUGCUACAUUUUUUUUUAUGCUGAUUGGCUUUGUAGGCAGGGAUGAACUGGUUGCACCUCAUAUUUUCUAUCAUCACCUAUUUAGGACAAUAUGAUUUAGUUCCUGUUUGACAGAAUUUUUUUAAAAGAAUGGGUGUUUGAAUAGUAAAUUUUUGGAGAAUGUAUGCUUAAAAAUUAAAAAAAAAACGUUGAAUUUAAGUAAAUAAUAUUUUAUUGUGAGAAUGCAUGGGUUAAAAAAGGUAUUAAAAAAAAAAUUUGAAAGAACUGCUUCAAGCUUCAAAAAAAUAUUUUGUGUUAUUAAUCAAGAAAUUUUAAUUUAAUUUAAGUCAUGGUCCCAGUCCCAUCACAUAGUAUUCUUGACUUCAAGCUGUGGUCAAGUAACCAUAUAAUAUUUUGACUGAAGAAACCAAACUGAAACGUAGAACAUAGACCAGGGUCACUACAUAUACAAUGAAACUAUCUAAUGGGCAUAGGUGUUUAGAUUAUAUUAAGUAUCGAUAAUAUGACAUAUCAAUAGGUUGGUGAAUAUGUUAAUGGUAGGUCCCAUGAAUUUAAUGAUUCACCAAUUCAUAUAUAUAUGCCUUAUUCGAAAGGGAUUAAAAUCUAGAUUUUAAUUUAAAUUGAAGUUAAUAAUGAAUUUUAAUUAUAUAUUUCAUGGGUCCUAUAAAUUUUUAAUCAAAUAUUUUACCAAUUUUUAUCAAAAUCAACUAAAAAUUUGAUUUUAAUCACUACCAAACAGAGAUUUAAUAAUUUUCACUGUGAAAUAUCUAUAUCAUUAUCAAAACAAUUAGAACAAGUAAUCUCUCAUACUUAGUUACUUAUCUUGUAACACAAACUAACCAAAUAUCAAAAUAAUUACUGAAAGAAACUCGCACAUAUUGUUUAGCCUGUAUAAUCUAACUCAAAGUCAAUAAUUGUUUUUAACUAUAUAUAGAAUUUACAAUUUUUCAACCACAUGUUUCAUCAUCUUUUAUCAAAAAUUGUUAAUCAGAAUUCGAAAUGAAGAGGAGAAGGAUGAUAAUAUUCUGAAGUGAAUAGGUCUUUCAACCAUUAGUAAGAAACUGAUUUACAAGAGAUAUAAAAAAGAUGUUCUAGCACAUCUUUCUACCAACUACCUGCUACAUCCUUAUUUAAGGACACAUUACAUUAUUACAUAAAGACAUGCUGGUGCAGGCUAUACAUCAGAAAAAAUGUAAAGGACUGCUCCCUAUAAUCAUUACAAAAUACAUAGGGCUUGACAACAAAAUAAACAUAGCUUAGCCUUAUACUUGAUACUUAAGGACUCGACAAUUGUGACAACAAAAGUGGCAACAACAUCAAUACUCCUCCUUGACACUUUUGUUGGAAACACCAAGACUCUUUCUAAGUGUUUCAAAUCUUCCCUUGGACAAGGACUUGGUUAGAAUGUCGGCAUAUUGAUCUUCACCUUUGCAAUGUACCAGCUUUACCUCACAAUUUUCUUGUGCUUCUCUAAUUGCAUGGUACUUGAUUUUAAUGUGUUUCGAUCUUCCAUGGAACACUGGAUUUUUUACCAUAGCUAUAGCUGAUUGAUUAUCACAAAAAAUUAUAGUUGCCUCAGUUUGUUUAACAUCCAAAUCCUCCAGCAUUUUCCUCAGCCAAUGUGCCUGAUUUGUUGCUUCUACUACUGCUACAUACUCUGCUUCUGCUGUUGAUUGAGCAAUAGUUUUCUGCUUCAUUGAGUUCCAGCAAACAAUGUUUGUUCCAAGAUAAAAUGCAUAUCCAGAUGUGCUCUUCAUAUCAUCAAGAGAUCCAGCCCAGUCACUGUCUGUGUAUCCAAUUAAAUUCUAGGAUUUUGACCUCUUAAACCAGAUUCCCAAAUCAACACUUCCUUUGAUAUAUCUCAAAACUCUUUUGGCCGCCUAGAAAUGCAAUUCACUUGGUUCCUCCAUGAACCUCGAAAGCAAAUUAGUAGCAUAAGUGAGGUCAGGUCUUGUGAUUGUCAAAUAUAAUAAACAACCAACCAAGCUCCUAUACAACUUCCCAUCAAUCUUCUUACUACCAUCGUCUUUCACCAUUUUCACAUUUUGAACCAAAUGAGUUACUACUGGUUUACAGUUGUCCAUGUUGAAUUUCUUUAAUAUCUCAAUGGCAUAUCUUCUUUGACACACAAAAAUGCCUUCUUGUGUCUAGUAGAUUUCCAUUCCAAGGAAGUACUUCAUCUUUCCUAAAUCAGUCAUUUCAAAUGACUUCAUCAUUUCUGCCUUAGUUCUGUCUAUCAGUUCCUUAUUGCUGCUGGUUAUUAGAAGAUCAUCAACAUAUAAGGAAAAUGAUGAUUGACUCUUCUUCAAUUUUCUUCAUGUACAAGGUCUGUUCAUUGACACUUCUCACAAACCCAAGGCUGCUCAUGUGUUCAUCAAUUCGGCUGUACCAGGCUCUUGGAGCUUGCUUCAGCCCAUACAAUGCCUUCUUCAGCUGAUACAUUUGUCCUCUUCUCUAGCUACUUGAAAGCCAUCAGGUUGAUCGACAUAAAUCUCCUCAUUUAACCAGCCAUGUAGGAAAGCUGAUUUAACAUCCAGCUGAUGAAUUUCCCAGCCUCUUUGAGCAGCUAUAGCCAGCAACAAUCUUAUAGUUUCAUACCUUACCACUGGUGCAAACCUGUUUGAGUAAUCAAUACCAUAUUGCUGUGCAUACCCUUUCACAACAAGUCUGGCCUUAAGCUUGUUAAUAGAUCCAUCUGAGUUCAUCUUGGUCUUGAACACCCAUUUGACUCCAAUAACAUUUUUGUUCAUUGGCCUAUCUACCAGCUUCCAAGUUCCAUUCUUUUCAAUCAUCUUAAGUUCCUCCUCCAUUGCUGCCAACCAUUCAGAUGAAUUUACAGCUUCAGCAGCAUUUGUUGGCUCUAAUAUUACUGAAUUGCACCUUGCAUAUACAUCAGCCAAUGACCUGGUUUUUAGUAUUGGAUUCUCAGUAUCUGAUCCACUAUCAGCUUCCAAAGGAUCAGCUUCCAAUACUUCAAGUUGGUUUUCAUCAGGAUCUUCUUCUUCAUUGAUUACAGCCUCAUCUCUUUGUGGAACUAUUCCUUGAUCAUGUGAUCGAAUUAAUGUGUUUGACUCCCUAUUCUAUGAGGAUUCUUCAUCUAUCUUGAUAUCCCUGCUGGAUAUUAUCUUCUUGGUUCGAGGAUUGAAAACCUUAUAUCCUUUAGCAUUGCUGCAAUACCCAAUCAAGAUGCCAGAUUUAGCCUUUUGACUUAGCUUAUCUCUUUUAGGGUCUGGAAUGUUGAGUAACAAAUACUACCAAACACCCUUAGAUGAGCAACAUCAGACUUGAUUCCAUACCAAGCCUCAUAUGGUGUUUUCAUAUUCAAAGCUUUUAUGGGGAGUCUAUUAAGAAGAUAUGAGGCAGUACUCACAGCUGCUGCCCAGAACUCUUUUGGAAUUGAUUUCUCAAUCAUCAAACACCUUGCCAUCUCCAUCACGGUCUUAUUCUUUCUUUCACACACUCCAUUUUGCUGGCGUGUGUAUGGAAUGGUCAACUGAUGUUUAAUUCCAGCUGUCUCACAGAAUUUAUCAAGCUAAUUACACUUGUAUUCAAUUCCAUUGUCUGUUCUGAUGGUCUUAAUUCUGGAAUUGUACUCAUUUUCCACCUAUGUUUUGUACUUCUGAAACACCCCUGCAACUUCAGACUUCAACCUCAGGAAGUAUACCUAACUUAUCCUUGUUAGAUCAUCAAUGAAGAGUACAAAAUACCUGCUGCCAUUCAAUGUCUGAGUUCUCAUAGGACCACAUACAUCUGAGUGGAUUAACUCAAGUUUUGUUGCAGCUCUUCUGGAUUGACCUUUUGAAAAUGGAAGUUUGGUUUGCUUCCCACGUUGACAUACCUCACACACACAGGUAUCAACACAUACAUCAGGCAUAUUUUCAGCAAGCUUAUGCAGGUGCUUAAGUGAUGUAUAGUUUAUGUGUCCAAACCUCCUAUACCAAAGUGUGGACUCAUCAACUGAGCUUGUGAAUGCAUGUGAAGUUACCUUUUUCCACUCUAAAGGAAAACUUCUUUGUUUCAUCUCCACAGACAUCAGUUCAUUAUUACUUAGAUCUAAUAUAGUACAGUCAUUGCCUUUGAAAAUCAGUGUGAAUUUCUUCUCAAUCAACUGGCCUACACUAAUUAGAUUUUGAUCUAUAUUAGGCACAUAAAGGACAUCAGAAAUAAGCUUGGUACCUGUUGGAGUUUGUACAGAAACUACUCCAAUUCCUUUCACCUCCACUUGAUCUCCAUUGCCAACUUUAACUCUUGAUCUGUAGUUGUCACUCAAUUCAACAAAGAUGCUGAGGUCCGAAGUUAUGUGAUGGGUGCAUCCACUAUCCAGUAACCAGCCUCCAAUAUUGCUAGACAUUUUGUAGUUUGCAACAGCAAAGAGAUGCUCUUCCAGCUGAUCUAGUUGCUGACUUUCAACAAUUUUAGCUUGCUGCUCAAUCUGCUUCCCUUUCUUAUUUCUACAAACCCUUUGAACAUGUCCAAACUCCUUACAUGACUUGUAUUGCGCCCCUGGUUUGAACCAGCACCAAUUUGGAGAAUGUACAAUCUUUUGAUAAUGUGGACAUGGAGGAUUAGCAGAGUUUUUAUCAGCACCCUUGCUGCCUUCGAAUCUUCUCUUGUCUUGCUGAUUUUUCCUUGGCCUAAAGCUAGUCUGUGCCUUAUGCUUUCCUUUAACAAACAAGGCACCUUCUACUUGAUCUUCUUGCCUCAUUAACCUCCUUUGCUCAGUGGUUUGCAAGGCAUUAACCAGCUCAGAUAAGGUGAUGGAUGAUAGAUCUAGAGUCUUCAAGAGUUGAGAUUUUAGCUUCAAACUUUUCUGGUAAGCUAAUCAGCACCUUUUCAAUGACCCUUCUAUCAGGUAAAUCAUCUCCCAAAAGCCUUAUCUUGUUCACUACCUUAAUCAACCUAUCAGCAUAAUCUUUGACAGAUUCAGAAUCCUUCAUCUUCAGGCCCUUAUAUUUUCUUCUCAAGUUCAAGACUUGCAUUUGUCUUGUUCUUGCAUUGCCUCUGAACUCCUCUUGCAACCUGUCCUAGGCCUCCUUUGCAAUUUCACAGGUUAUUAUUCUGGUAAAAAUUGCAUCAGUCACAGCUGACUGGAUGUAAAACAAGGCUUUAAACUUUUUUGCAACCUCCUCACUAUGUUGCUUCAAUUGAGCAAUUGUAGGAUUUGCUCUUAAGGCUGGUGGUUCAACACUUGAUUCUGUGAUUUCCCACUGAUCAUAAGCCUUUAAAUAAGCCUUCAUCUUUGCUGUUCAGAAGUCGUAAUUCUCACCUGUGAAAGCAGAAGGUAAAGGUGCUGAGAAUCCAGCUGAAGCCAUUGGAUUUUGAUCCUAUGUCUCGACUAAUAUGGUGAAGGUUUUUAGUGUAGGUUCCUUGUUUUCUCUCUUUUUUGGUCUCACAGAUCCCUCCUUCAAAGAUCAUUCAAGCUCUGAUACCACUGUCAAUCAGAAUUCAAAAUGAAGAGGAGAAGGAUGAUAAUUUUCUGAAGUGAAUAGGUUUUUCAACCAUUAGUAAGAAACUGAUUUACAAGAGAUAUAAAAAAGAUGUUCUAGCACAUCUUUCUACCAACUACCUACUACAUCCUUAUUUAAGGACACACAUUACAUCAUUACAUAAAGAUAUGCUGGUGCAGGCUAUACAUCAGAAAAAAUGCAAAGGAUUGCUCGCUAUAAUCAUUACAAAAUACAUAGGGCUUGACAACAAAAUAAACAUAGCUCAGCCUUAUACUCGAUACUUAAGGACUCGACAAUUGUGACAACAAAAGUGGCAACGAACAUCAAUAAAAAUAACAAAAUCUUAUUUUAAUUGCCACCAAAUAGGGACUCAAUUUCCUUCCGUAUGAACUAAGCCUUUUAGCGAGAAAGAAAAUAGUUGAACAUUUAUUAAGGAAUACCAUAUUGUUAUAUGGCUCAUAAAAGAGAAGAAAAUCAAAGGAUAAAUGUACUAUAACAUUGAAAACUAAAGCAAGCAUGUCUACAUAUCUCGAAUUUGCUGUCAAAGAUAUCAAGUGUAGAUGAUCAAUAUUUGUGUUCACAUCUUGAUGAUCAAGUUUAAGCAUUGUUGGAUACAUCCACUGCAAUAUUGACAAUUUGAUUUUUUUAUAACAUUCCAUACUUAUUAGUAAGUUUACUUAUUGUUACUUUUUUUAUUUACAAGAUUAGAUAAUAUAUAAUCCUCAUUAUAAAGAAACGUAAGUGUGGUGAUGACGAAAUAAGUGAUGGAAUGGUUGAGUAAGAUUAAAAUAACAUGAUCCAAUCAAAUUGUCUAGGAAAAUGAGAACAAAUAUUUUAAGGAUUCUUACAUUGUAGCUUGGUCUUCACUUCGCGGAAUCGAUAACAAUACGAUAGGCAUUGCAGUUCGUCUGUAACUUCAUAACCCAAUGGUGGGACCUUGACUAUCACAUAGUCCACCAUAUUAUAAUUUCAAGAAAAAGAGGUAAAAAUAUUGGAUAUUUAAUCCCGUCCAAAAGUUUAAAUUUUAAGUAAGAGGACACUAGGACACUAUAUAAUGCAAUUAAAUAUUAUUUUUAACACAAAAGAUUAAUUUUUUAUUUUAAAUGAUUGACGAUUAACUUAUACUUAAAUAUUCACCUUAAGUAUUUAGAGAACAAAGAAAUUGAUAAUUUAAAUAUGGGCUAAAACAAUGUUAAUAAUCAACUUAUGGCGAAGUUUUACACUAGUUAUAUACCUUUAUUUUGUUUCAAAGUUAUUAUUGAAGUUUAUUUUUGUUUCAGUUUAUUUGGUCUAUUAACAUAUGUUAGCUUUUCUAGUAGGAUGUAUGACUUUACUGAUGAUAAGCUGAUGUAUUGUCGACAUGGACGUCUUCCACGUCACACGUUCUAUUAGAAAAACCGACGAAAUUUUACUAAAAUAAGUAGUGAAGUUGUGACUAUUUCGAAACAAAAGAAACUCAGUGGCUAAAAUGACACUUAACUGCAAGUUGAGUGACUAUCUGGGUUUUCCCCCAUUUAAAUAUUGUUUUAAAAAAGUUGAAAACCUUUUUUAACGUGGGUUGGUACUUCGUAGAAUUUAAAGAUGGUUUGGGGAGGACUUCAGAGUUUUAGCAAGUUUUAUUGGAGACUUGUAAUAGUGGUGCUAGUGAUGGGCAGACAACCUUGUUGUAGUGACAACCUUGAAGUAUAAAAAGGGGGCCGUGGACGACAGACAAAGACAAGAAACUCAUUAGUUUUAUACUCAGCAACGGCCCAUGUUGUUGGCGGGCCGUGCCAAAGCUGGUGGGGCUGUGGCGGUGCAGCAAGAGCUGCCGGCUGUGGUGGACCAAUUAUCUCCGCCCUGAUUUGAAGAGAGGCCUUCUUAAUGAAGCUAAGGAGCAAUUGGUUAUUGAUCUUCAAGCCAGUCCUGGCAACAGGUAUAUCAAAUUUGUGUAAUAUAUUUGAAUUAUUCGAGUAUUGUUAAGACUAGCUUUCUUUCGUUCUUCCGGUGCACUCGAUGCACAUUAGCCUUUAACUCAGAACAAUUUUCAAAGGUACGAAGUCAUUUUUGAAGGAAAAAUUAUGCAUUUCCAGAGGUGUUAUAUGUUGAGUUUUAGCAUACCUAUUAUUGAUCAGUGGCUUUGCUUGUUUUUCCAUUUUUCUUUGUGUUUUGUAUACAAGAACCACCUCGAUCAAUAAUUUUAAUUAUUUAAAUUUGAUUUCCAAUAUUUAUGUGAUCAUAUGUGCAAAAGUUUCAUAAAUAGAGGGAGAAAACUUGAAUUCAAGAUGUUUGCUUUAUAUAUUGUUGAACUAUUUUAUCUAAAUAUAUAUUUAAGAGGUGUCACAUUUAUCUAGUUUUCGAAAGAUAUAUAAUGUUAUAUUCAGUAUGUUGAAUCUACGCAAACAAAUAUGAAAAUUAGCAAACUUUAUUUUUCACAUGUCUUUUUUAAAUAUUAUUUAAUCAUGUUCAAUCAAGCGUCGCAAAUUCAAUCAAGCGUCAUUCUGGAAAGAAAGGUUUAUUUAAUCUAUGUGUUCUCAAUUAUUUAAUCUAUUUGAUAACUUUUGCAAACUAGAAGGUAUCAAGAGACAGUUCACAAUGACAUACACUACAUAGCAAAAUGAAGUGGCAGAGCAUUGCUAGAAAGAACAAGAGCAAUGUUGAGAUCUGUGGGGGCAAGCCAAAUCAUUCUGGGCAGAAGCUAUCAAAACUCCCUAUUUUGUGAUCAAUCGGUCACCACCAACCAUAAAUGAUUUGAAGACGCCUAUGGAAAUAUGAACUGGUAAGCCAGUUUGUUAUUCUCACUUACAUGUAUUUGAAAAUCCUGUGCAAGUUAUGUACAACACUUAAGAAUUAUCAAAGCUGAAUCCAAAAUCCAAAAAUGUAUUUAUUUGAAGUUUGACCAUCGAAAUUCGUGUACAUAUUGCUUAGUAUAGUGCACAUAUUUGAUUCGACAAAUCUGAACCAAGCAAUAAAUGACACACCCCGCCUCGUGUAACACCACUAGAUCCGGACGUGGCAUGCGCCGAAUGAUAGAUACCAACUAAAAGUCGGACCCACCAUCAAGGCUAUUACAAAUACAAUAUAUCACUUUUUAUACAUCAUUUUUUUAACAGAAUUUCGGUAUUAUCUCCUCUGUAAACAAGACUAACCAACCUGUGAUCAAUUUCACACAAAUCCCAAACUAUAGCACAGCACAAUAAAGAUAAGCCGAAAUCUUACUUUUACCAAGAAAUAAACAUAUGGAUACAUAAUGCAUAGUGAGUCUCAUAACUAUUUACAAGUGAUGCAAAAUCACAUCUAGACAUGAACAUGCAUCCCAAAACACUUACUACAUGUUCUAUGAAAUGAGUCAUACUAACAAACUCUGUCAUGUGGCUUUGAUUCCAAAAUCAAGGCUCAACUCCAAAAGAUACCCAGAUUCUCAACUAGUGCCUCAUAAGGAAAAACGUGAAAAAAUAUAGGAGUUGAUAGGUCAGUGAGUGGAAUUAUAGCCAAAAAGUGAAAUAUUCACAUAAGGUUAUAAAAAUAUCAUCUUAAAAUCACGAUAUAACAUCAGCUGAUAACCAUGCUAUGAUCUCAUCACAUCAAACAUGUUGAAAAAUUCACCAAAAAUGUAUUCUCUAACUGAAAUAUGUAAUCCGCCUCUCGUGUUAAGAACUUUCGCAACGAGCCUUUGGCCCCCUCCGUGAACGAAAGUCGGUCUCAAAGACCUCUCAUAAUCAAUUCUAGAACACAGCUAAGGCCCCUUUGUGAACUAUAGGUACACGAUCAAGACCAAUGUCAGGUCAAGACCCUCCGUGUAGAAUAGAACACGACCAAUGCCUCUCUGUGAACUAGAAGAAGUAUAUAAUCAUGGAUAUUUUUCUGGCCGAUCUCAAUAUUGCAUGUCUCACAUACCAAACAAAUCUCAAUAUCACAUGUCUUACAUAACAAGUCACAAAUAUGUCAUAAAUUAUCUUUGAUAUUUCACAUGUAUAAUAAUAAAAGAGAUUUCCAUCAUAACCAUAUAAUUCGAACACAUAAUUGCACACACUUUGACAAUAUACUUAAUUUAUAAAUAUUUUUAAAAUAUUUAUAUUUUUCCACUCACAGAACUAAUUACGCUAAAAUCAACUCGAUUGGUACGCUGUCUCGAUAUCUGUAUCGCCGCCUGAAAUAUGAUAUCAUUUUUAAAUCAAUAAUUAACUAAUUUAAGUAAUUUCAAUAAUUAAACAGGCAAUACCCGAACAUAAUUAUUUCACAUUUAGGCAAUUUCUAAAGUCUCUUUAAUUACUAAAAUUAAAUUUUCUUUCAUUUUACUCAAUUUCAUAGUUUAUUACACUUAAUCCCUUCAAUAAAAUUAAAUUUAAUCUAACAAUCUAACAACUAUAAAAUCAAACAUAACUUAACAGUAAGUAACUUUUUACUUACCUUUCAAAAUUGAGAAAUUCAAGCCUAACAGAAUAGAUCACUUAAUUCCUAAUAUAUUGGCAAAUUUUUCCCUUUUUUUUUUCUUCUUUUUCUUCCUCUUUUCCCUUUUUUCCCCCCUCUUUUUUUCCUUUCUCUUUUUCUAUCUUCUUCUUCUCUGCACCAUUGUUCUUGAGUGUGUAUUAUGUCUGUGUGUUAUUAAUUAAUGGUUUGGAUAGAUUUAUAAGGGAUUGUGCCCCCUUUUUUUUGUUUGAUGUUUGACUUUUAAAAAAAAAAAGUUAAUGUAUUAUAAAAACCACAGGAAAAAUGAAUGCAGAGACCCUUCUUUUGAGAAGGAACGAAUUAAAUGGGCAGUAAUGGAAAUUAUAAGGUAGAAAAUUGUAGCUCGGAUAUGGAUGCAAAGUAAUCUACAAGUGUGACAUAAAGAAUUGAACAAAACUAGGGGUGAAGGGUACACUGAUAUAUAUUACAUGUUUUUCUCCUGUAUAUGUUUCUAAACUAGCUUUUGGUGAAGGUGAUGGGGGCAAGGGAGAAUGUAGAAUUGAAACAAUAAUGAUAAUAUAAGGAAAAUGUGAACAUAAGGACAGUACAAAAUCAUAAGUAUUCUAGUAUCUCGUGGUGUUUCCAACAAAUCUUUUGAUCAUUAAUAGUGCGCGAAUGCCAUUGGACAUGUUCAUUUGAAAGUCAAUGUGGGACUGUGGGCAGUACUAUUCACGAGUGCAAUAGUGCCCUCAAUGUGAGAUGGCUUGAUCUUUGUGUUUCUAUGUCUAAGGUUUAUGCUUUGUACCUUAGACUACACAUAAUUACAGAUAAAAAAAUAAUGUGAGAAAUUAGUUAUUUUUCUAUCCCAUCUUGUCUUAUCGAGAAUAUACUCCUCUUCGAUAUAUCUUAAGCUUUAAAAUAAUGUGGUGUAAAAUGUUAAAUCUUCUUUUAAAGUUGUUCUAUUCGAGAUCUAAACUUUACAAUAUAAGAGUAGGACAACUUAGUUUGUUGGCGAAUGUAGUGCAUUGAUCUUAAGAAGUUUUGAUUCGUAAGAGGACGUUAUUAUAAUAAUGGGUGAAAGAAUAGCGAUACAAACUAGCUGAAAAUGAUUCCAUGUGAAUAAAAUGGAUUGAAUUUUAUUGUAUCUUCUAUUAAAUGUAGCAAUGCACCAUAGAAGAGGUAGAAAAGAGAUCUCAAAUAUAAUUAAGUAAAGAAAAAAAAUUAAAGAAAGAUAUUCACAUCACAAAUCCUAAAUUGCGAUGAAAUUCAACAGACAUAAAUGUUACCUAUGUUUGUAUCAAAAUUUCUUUGAAAAGUUAGUAAUGGUAGUAAUGGAUAUUGAUACAGGUUUUGCGAGGGAACAAACAAGUUCUUCGCAAAACCCUAUCCUAAAAUUCUUCAAACUUUAUUAGAAAAUUCUUUGAAAUUAGUGAUUGAUUUUAGCAACAUAGUGAUUUCUUCAUAAAUUUGGCAUCUUUCAUUUUAUAUCAUUCUUUACUUUCGGAUGUCCUUGGAAAAUCUAUUGCCUACAAUCACAAUUUGGUCAUAUUUUACUUUUUCUUUAAAAUUUCGUGAUCCAUAUUGCGGCAGAGCAAGACAAUUGCAAAUUCUGUUCAUGAAAAUCUCAAUUUUGGCAUUUUUAUUUCUACUUUUUAGAUUUUGUGGCAGACUUUGGUAUAUAAUUUUGAAAAUCGGAAUUAUUUUUUUACUAACAAUCUAAAUUCUUUUUCAUAUUUUUUAACUUUGUGAAGAAUUUUGCGAACAUAUUUCAGGAGGGAAUGAUUCAAAUGGCUUUGAUUAAUCCAACCAAUUUUUAGUGGGAAUAAACUACUAAUGACAAGACUUUUAUGGAAACAUAGAACUAAACAAAUGGCUAUAAUUGAAUCGAAGAACUUUCAAAGUUUUGGAGCCUUUUGUCAUUUGAAAUAAUAUUAAUAUUUUGUACUAUUGAGUUAAGAUGAGGUUCCAAAAACUGCUAAUUCAUACAGAGCCAUUAAACCUGCCCAAAUAACAACCAACAGAUUAGACAACUUUACCAACAAAUGUAGAAAUUAAAACGUGCAAGAAAAUAAAAAAUUGAAGAACACAAAAGAUUUUUUGCCCUAAGGCAAGAGGUUUAGAACUAAGUUUCUAAUCCCCUUUUGUGCUUCUACCACCGGAAAAAAUCACUGGAUUAAAAUGGAACGAAAGAAACCAUCCUAAGUUGCACUUCCAGAGCACUCAGAAUGAAUCACUCAAGAUUACAUCACAUAAGCCCCUCGAUUUGUACAUUUGCUCACUCAAGAUAUACAUUCGAUUGAGAAGGAUUGCAAGAUUUUUCUCUCCAGAGAAAAAGAAGAAGAUGAGAGAACUUCAAGAGUCAGUAAAAAAAAAUGAAAAAUGGAUUCCAAUCGUCAAAACCCUAGGCAAAUGAACGAUCAAAUAAGAAGUCAUCAGAAGGUUAGCCAACCGACAAUUGUUAGGGUUGAUACUUGGCAUCAUCUUAUAAAUCAAGCCUACUAAGGAAAUCGCAUUUCAUAAAACAUGUUUUUGUAAAGAUGUAAAUGAUGUCAACUAUAAACCAUCUAUCCGAACAAAGUUUCAACCAACAAUCCAAUCAAUAGCCUAAUCAUAAUUGUGCCACAUUUUCCACGAUCUCUACAUUGGUACAAUGAUUUCAGUUUAAACUCACGGUGGUUCCUCCAAGACAUGACAUCAUUUGUUCGGUUACCUGAUACACAAAUUAGCAAGCGUUAGUAUUCAGCUGACUUAAACAAUCCUGAAAUUUGUUUAAAGGCAACACCUUGGUACCUAUAUCAACAGGAUUAAAAUAAGUAGAAAUAUUUUCAAGUUUCACAAUUCCUUGUAAAACUACAUCUGUAGUAAAAUGAAUCUAACAUCAAAAUGUUUAGAUCUAUUAUACAAAACAUGAUUUCUACUCAAGUAAAUGGCAAAUUAACUAUCUGAAUAAAGAACAACUUCAUUAACAAAACUAAAUUCAUUUAGUAAGCCUUUUAACCAUAUCUCGUCUUUAAUAGCAUCUGCAGCAACUAUAUAUUCAGCCUUAGUGAUGAUAAUGCAACAAUCUUUUAAAGCUGGGAUUUUCAGCUUAUACAGGAAUUACACAGAGUAUACAUAUAAGCCGAAGUGAAUUUUCUAUUAUCCAUGUCACCUUCAUAGUCAAAAUCAGUAUAUCCUCUUAAAACAAAACCAUAAAGUUGUUUCUUGAACUAAAUUCCUAAAUGAAAAGUGCCUUUAAUAUAUCUAAGAAGCCAUUUCAUUUCCUCCUAGUGAGCUUCUCCAGGGUUGCACAUAUAUCUACUUAGAACACUUAUAGAAUAUGCCAAAUUAGGUUUGGAACAGACCAUUAAGUACAUAACAAACCCAACUGCAUUGGAGUAAGGCACUUUUUCCAUUCUCUUAAAUUCUUCUAUGGAUUUAGGACAUUGUUCAUUUGAAAGUUUGAAAUGCUUUGGAAAAGGUAAACUUACACUUCUAGAAUCAAACAUAGCAAACGUUUUAUACAAUUUCAGUAUGUAUAAUUUCUGCCUAAAGUUUAGUGUGCUUUCUCUCCUAUUUUUCUUAACUUCAAUACCAAAAAUCUUUCUGAAAAGACCUAAGUCCUUCAUUUCAAAUCUGAUUUUAGUUUAUUUUUUAUUUCCUCUCUCUCUCUCUCUCUCUCAUGUCAUGACUUGCCAGCAGCAUGUCAUUCACAAAAAGGAGUAGAUAAAGAGAAAUUUCUCCACCAUUUCCUUUGUAGUAAAAACAGGUAUAAAAGUUACUUCUCUUAAAACCAAGUCCAAGUACAAAAGUAUCAAACCUUUUGUAUCAUUGCCUUGGAGCUUGUUUUAAGCCAUAUAGAGAUUUUUUAAGAAGGCAUAUUAAGUCAGCUUUCUGGUUUAUUUCAAAGCCUUUAGGCUUUUUCAUGUAAGUAGAUUCAUCAAGAUCACGAUUUAAAAAAGCUAUUUUUAACAUCCAAUUGAUCCCAUUCUCAAUUAAAUUGUGUAGCCAAGGCAUUAUCCUAAUAGUUGUAAAUUUUACAAUUGGUGAAUAGUUUUCAUUGAAAUCAACUUCUUCUUUUUGAGUAAAGCCCUUCUCCACAAAUCUGGCUUUACAUCUGAUGUCAUUUUCACUUUAUUCUUCUCUUUUAAUUUUGAAAAUUCAUUUACAAUCAACAACCCUUUUUUCCCUCAAGUCUUUUAACUAAAAUCCAUUAAAGGAUUGCAUUUUAUCUUGCACUACUGCAAGCCAAUGGUUAGAGUCAUUACUACUCAUAGGUUCUUCAAAGGACUCGAGCUCAUUUUUAAUCAUACUUUGAUAAGAUAGCAAUGAGGCAUCUUUAUCAAACCUAGCAGGAGAUCUUAUUUAUCUUCUUUGCCUAUCUCUAGCAAGUUGAUAGUCAUCUAAAGAUUGAUUUAUUUCUGAAUCAACCUUUAGUUCAUCAAUAGGAGCUCCAUCAUCAAGAGUUUCCUCAUUUCUCUCGAUGGGGUGUGCAUCAGUCCGAUGAGUUUCAUCAUCAGAAUGCUCCACCUCAUUGUCAAUCCCUUUUUCCACAUUUUUAGUCUAACUAAAGAGUUCUAUUUGUUUUUCAAUUUCAAGGCAGGGCAGAUCAUCUUCAUUAAAUAAAACAUUUCUAAUAAUCAUGAUCUUAUAAACUUUGGUUUUCCUUACCUAUAAUCUAUACCCCUUAACUCCAUCUCCAUAGCAUAAAAAUACACACUUAAGGGCCCUGGGUUCUAAUUUUCCUUCAGAUUGAUAUGCAAAAGAUACACAUCCAAAACUUUCCAGUUACUGAAGUCAACAGGUUUCCUAUUUCACACCUCUUCAGGAGUUUUAAAGUGUAUGGCACUAGCAAGGCUUCUACUAAUAAGAUAACUUGUAGUUUUAACAGCUUUACCCAAAAAUAUCUUAGGCAGUACAGAACUUAAAAGCGUCCAUCUCACUUUUUCAAGAGUAGUUAUAUUCUUUCUUUCAACCAAACCAUUUUGUUGUGAAGUGCGUGUCACAGUCUGUGACUUACUAUACUAGAGGAUUUGCACAACUCAUCAAAUUCAAGAUUACAGAAUUCCAAACCAUUAUCGGUUCUUAAACCUUUAAUCCUUUUAUCAGUUUGGUUUCAAUCCUAUUCCAUUCUUUAAAAACAUUGAAAGUGUCUGACUUUGAUUUUAAAAGAAAUGUCCAAUUUUUCUAGAAAAAUCAACAAUAAUUGACAAAAACUAUUUAAAGCCAGUAUGAGUUGGGACAAUAGCUGAUCCCUAAAGAUCAGCAUGCAAAUAUUCAAGCAUAGACACAGAUUUAUGCAUUCCAGGCCAGAAAUGUAACCUAUAACACUUUCCUAGAAUAUAAUAACCACAAAAACUAAGUUUCUCUAUUUAAUGCCCCGAAAAUUUUAGAAUAAAAAUAUAUUUGUCUUAUAUGUUUUAAUUUUAUAUUUUGAAAAUUUGAGGACUAAAAUGAAAUAGCUUCUAGUUUCAUAUUUUAUUUGGGUCAAAAAAUUAAGUACCGAUAGAAAGAGAUUUUAUAUAUAUUGAUAUUAUAUGCAAGUUGUCCCGUCCUUUCAAUAUUGUAAUUUUUGUUACAUGAUUUAUUUCAUGAAAUGCUAAUUGACCUGCGGGUCCCUAUGAAAUGAAAUGUGAGAUCGCCUUCGGGUCUUCUCAAAUGUGCUAGAGCUUUCGAUUGAUCACUGAUUGCUCUUGUUGAAAUAAUGGUAUGAAAUGUUAUAGAUUCAUGCUUUAAAAGUUAUCGUAUUGUUUGGACGUACGUAUCCUACUAAGUAUAAAUUACUCAUUCCUUCAAAAUUUAACAUUUCAGAUUAGGUCGGCCGACAUGGAUGGUGGUUGAGCGGUGCGCGGAUUGCCAAGCAAAGAAAAUAAACAUUUUAAAAUAACUCUAUUAGGAUAAUAUGUGUUUCAAUUUAAUUCCACUUAAUGUUCUAUGUUUACAUGACAUUAUGUUUACUUAAUUUGGGGCAUUACAGAAUAGCAUCAGAGCCCAGAGUUUUAAAAUCGAUUUUGCAAACUCAAAAAAAUUUGAUUUAAAAGUUACUGUUCACGUGAUUUUUUCCCUAUUUUAAAUGAUUGAGAUUUAAUGCAUUUGUUUAAUGUUAUGGUUUAAUUAGUCUUCAUUUCGUAUUGUUCAUGGUACAGUCUAUAUCAUUGGUUUCUUUUCCAUAUAAGUCAAGUUAUUAGUUAAAAUGACAAUUAAACAUUAAAGUAGUAAUUUAAUACACUAAUGGAAACCAAACGUGAUUUUCUACAUACUUUUAUACACUUAAUGUAAAUUAAAACCUCUUAGCUAUCAAUACAAGAGGCAUUGUUUUCAAACCAAAAUCGAUCAUACCUUACAUGAUUAAAAUAGUUUCCGUGCCUUGCAUAAAGUCAAGCAUGUGUUCUAAAUCCUAAAGUUUGCCGUUUAUUUGUACGUUUCAUAAUUCAAUUCUUACUUAUGGUGAUAAGGUAUGAGGUACCUUUUUAUAUUGUUGUAUUCUUGUUUUAAUGAUUUAAUUUAGAAUUCAUGUCAUGAUUUUGUCAUUCCUGCCUUCGGCUGGAAAUGUUAAUCAAUAGAAAUGUUAGGAAUUUUAAUCUACGUUCACGUCCUGUGAUUAAAUGUAUACAUAAAUAUGUUUAUAUUGUUCCUUCACUUGUUCAAAGCCAAGGACUCAUAUUUCCAAAUCAAGUACUAUGCUUUAAUGGUUUGUUAAUUUUCAAUUAAACCAUGUUUUGAAUGUCAGCUUUUUCUUUUUUAAAUAGUAAAAAAGCGGGUAGCUACACACUGCAUUAGUUGACUGAAUGACGAUGUGCCAAUUUAGGUGUAUAUGCAUUGAUUUCCUAUUUCAACUCUGCACCAAAAAUAAAAAAUAAAAAAAAGUGAUGAACAGUGACGGGUCAUUGUUCACCCCCAUGAACAGUUGACAAUAAUUUUUUUUUUUUAAUUGUUAUGUGUAUUAAAUGCGUAUGUAGCUAACCUUAACUUUACAUGCUAUUUAUUAUUACUUUCUUUAAGGUAUAAUUUAAAAGAUGUAAUGUAAAGUUUUUAUUAAAAUUCUUAAAUAUGUAAGAAUUUGAAAGAUUCAUGUCACUUGGCACUCACCAUUCAACCACCCUCCAAUUAAUCUAAAGUAUGAAAUGAAAUGUUAUUCUUUUAACAUGGUCAUGAAUUUUCUUACUCCAUUCUAUUAUGAGUACGUUAAUCAAAUAUUUUUAAAAUUUUCAAAUAGUUAAAGCAAUUUCGAGGACGAAAUUAUUUAAGGGGGGUGGGAUUGUAAUGCCCCGAAAAUUUUAAAAUAAAAAUAUAUUUGUCUUAUAUGUUAUAGUUUUAUAUUUUGAAAAUUUGAGGACUAAAAUGAAAUAGUUUCUAGUUUAAUAUUUUAUUUGGGCCAAAUAAUUAAGUACCAAUAGAAAGAGAUUUUAUAUAUCGAUAUUGGGCUCGUUUAAUAGCUCUUAUUUAAUCUUGUAUUUUAGGCUCAAGAAAAAGUUGAUUCGGAUAAGCUAAACUUAAGAUAUUGACGUUUAAAGAAAUUGGUAUUUAUUAGUAUUUUAUUGGUUUUUAACACUUAGCCGUGUCCACAUGAAUGGAGCUUUUUUCUUUUACAAUAGAUGUUUUUACUUUUCACCAAAUAAUAAAAUAUGUUCAACAUGGCACUAUGCAAAAAUAAUCUUGAACGUGAUUUUGGAUUCGGCCUUUCAAAAAGUGUUUUAUCUAACGAGGUAGGAUACUAUGUGCAAGUUGUCCCGUCCUUUCAAUAUUGUAAUUUUUGUUUAGUGAUUUAUUUCAUGAAAUGCUAAUUGACCUGCGAGUCCCUAUGAAAUGAAAUGUGAGAUCUCCUUCGGGUCUUCUCAAAUGUGCUAGAGCUUUCGAUUGAUCACCAAUUGCUCUUGAGGAAAUAAUGGUAUGGAAUGUUAUAAAUUCAUGUUUUAAAAGUUAUCGUAUUGUUUGGACGUACGUAUCCUACUGAGUAUAAAUUACUCAUUUCUUCAAAUUUUAACAUUUCAGGUUAGGUCGAUCGAUGUGAAUGGUGGCUGAGCGGUGCGCGGGUUGCCAAGUAAAGGAAUUUUUCUAGAAAACAUUUUAAAAUAAUUCUAUUAGGAUAUUAUCUGUUUCAGUUUAAUUCCGUUUAAUAUUCUAUGUUUACAUGAUGUUAUGUUUACUUAAUUUGGGACGUUACACUCUAAGUUAUCUUUUCGAAAGGCACAGUGUUUUUUCAAAAUCUGUAACCCUUUUGUCACAAAUAUGACCCAAUAUUUUGUGUCAUAUUUGUGACUUAUCAUUCUGUGAUGAGAUUUCUACUGAAGUAGAAUCACAAACAUUUUAAGUAUGUAGAAUGUAUAGUUUUAUCUCUUUGGGCUUCAACAAUCAGUUGUGAGUCCUUCAAGAUUUUAGUGUAUCCCUUUUUAAUCUAUAUGUUAUGUACUCUAAGUUAUCUUUUCAAAAGGCACAGUGUUUUUUCAAAAUCUGUAACCCUUUUGUCACAAAUAUGACCCAAUAUUUUGUGUCAUAUUUGUGACUUAUCAUUCUGUGAUGAGAUUUCUACUGAAGUAGAAUCACAAACAUUUUAAGUAUGUAGAAUUUAUAGUUUUAUCUCUUUGGGCUUCAACAAUCAGUUGUGAGUCCUUCAAGAUUUUAGUGUAUCCCUUUUUAAUCUAUAUGUUAUGGUUUAGGUCAUCUAAAACCUCUAGGGAAAUGAGAUUUCUUUGUAAAUCAGGAACAUAUCUAGUUUUCUCUCAAACUAGUUCAUUAUUAUCCUUUGCCUUUAAAGUGAUGGUUCUUAUUCCCUUUGCCUCACAUGUUAUAUGAUUGCCAAUUAAAACUUGACCACCACAAUUUCAAACUCCGUAAACUACUCUCUAUUUGGACACAUAAGAAAUGUGUAGCCUGAGUCAAGAAUCUUGUCUUGACUAGAUGGACUGUUUAUAGCAACAUAAACUUCAUUGUUAUAUGCCAAGGCCACAACACCAUCAAUUUUGGACUUAUUUCUCAUAUCAUUAAGACUGUUAGGACAAUCUUUGAUAAAAUGGUCCCCUCCUUGAUAGUAAAUACAUUUUUUCCUUUCAUUUUAUUUUUAAGAUUUCCCUUCUUCUCGUGUCCUGAUUUCUUAUUGAAGCUAACAUUCUUAGGAUUAAAUUUGGAUUUUUAGCCAUCAAGUCUUCCCCACUAAUAGAUUCUUUCCAUUCAGACCUUAACUCUAAUUCUUUGUUUCUCAAGGCAUUGAUUAUCACAUCAGUAAUUAGAGUUUCCCUCCCAUAUUCAAUAGCAUUCUUAACAUUUUUAUAUUUAUCACCAAUUAAGUUCAAUAAAACCAUGACCAACUGAUCUUUUUAGAGUUUCUUAUCAUAUUUGCUAGGUCAUGGGAUAAUCUGUUGAAUCUAUCAAUGUUAACCUCAAGAUCAAGAUAUGUAUCUAGUUUAAAACCAAAAAAUAUGUUUUAGAAUAUACACUUUAUUUGGAAUGGUUUUAUUCAACUAUGUAUUUUCUAACUUUUUCCACAGUUUUGCAGUAGUCUUUGUUUAUCCAAUUUCUCAAACUACAUUGCUGGACAAAUGUAAAAAAAUUGAGCUCCAUGCAGUUUCAUCAAGUUCAUUUUUUCUUAUUUUCUUCUAAAUCAUCUAGCCAUGUCUCAUCAAUAGCAUUCACACAUUUUGUUGAAGUAAAAUUGCUCUCAUUUUCGGCCAUCAGAGACUAAAGUUUCCCUUACCAUUAAAGAUAUUCAAUUCAAAUUUUGAAGAAAUCAUGAUCAAAAAAUUUGAGUGUCAACAAUGUAAGCAAAUCACCCUGACACUUUAAGAGUAUAUACAACUUGUAUAAACAAUAGUACAUUAAUGUCACAGCAAUUUAUUCCAAAAAAAGUUCGGUUAGCAAAGAGUGCUAUAUUACAAAGAACAAGUACAAGUCACAGUAUGCUAUACACAAUAAUCAAGAACACAUGCACAGGAUUUAAAUCUAGAUCUUUAAUUAGGGCAACUCUUAGAUUCCAGACAACUCGAAGGGUUUCUAGACAAAGGAAUUGCCAAAAAUGUCUCAGAUAUAGCAUUUUAAACAUGUCUGCAAAGGGACUUCAAGUAUAAGCAAGUGUUUUGUACCGUAAAUCUUAAAAUAAGAAUGAUCUCACCAGAUCCCUUUAUUAGGGUUUCAGGAAAUAGCAGAAACUCUAUUGAACAAGUAUCAUACUUUUAGAUCUAUGGUGAACCACCAUCUAACUGCUCUGAUACCACUGUUAAGAUUAGGUUCAAUCGAUUUAGCCCACUUUACACAAAUACGUAAAUUAAAACGUGCACGAAAAUAAAAAAUUGAAGAAUACAAAAGAUUUUCCCCCUAAGGCAAAAGGUUUGAACAAAUCGAAAGAAAUCGCUGGAUUAAAAUGGAACCAAAGAAACCGUCCAAAGUUACACUUUCAGAGCAUUCAGAAUGAAUCACCCAAGAUUACAUCAUAUAAGUUCCUUGAUCUAUACAUUUGUUCACUCAAGAACUCAUUACUCAACCAAUAUACUGAUCACUCAAGAUCUACAUUCGAUUGAGAGCGGUUACACGAUUUUUCUUUACAGAGAAUAAGAAGAAGACGGGAGAACUUCAAGAGUCAGUAAAAAAAAUGAAAAAUGAUUCAAAUCUUCAAGACCCUAGGAAAAUGAAUGAUCAAAUAAGAAAUCACCAGAAUGUCAGCCAUCCAACUAUUGUUAAGGUUGACAUUUGGCAUCAUCUUAUGCAUCAAGCUCACUAAGGAAAUCGCAUUUCAUAAAACACAUUUUUGUAAAGAUAUAAAUGAUGUCAACUAUAAACCAUCUAUCUGGUCAAAGUUUCAACCAACAAUCCAAUUAGUAGCCUAAUCAUCAUUGUGCCUCAUUUCUCUGCACUCUUGUAAUAUUUCCAACUUCCAAAUCAUUAAAGUGAAUAGUGGCUCUUAAAUGAUCUCUAGCGAAUUCAAAUAUAUGACUAUUUUGUCUGAGGAAUUCAACAUUUUGUAAAACAAGUCCCAAGACACUGUGCCAAUCCCAAGUCAACACAAAUUAUGUACAAUGUACUUUGGUUAAAUAAUUGAACAACAUUGGGAGGCAGUGACAUCUUGCAAUUAUUUAUUGAUGACUAGUCUGUAGGUUCAAUAGGCCAAAUUACAGUGCAAGAAUGAUAGAUCAAUAUCGUAAGUAGUAUGUUAUCCUACCUUAUUCAGAAAAUGUUUAAUUUUAAAUUAGGUGUUGGUUCUAUUAGAUUAAAGGCUUGUGGAAGCUUGUAUUUUAUUCCUCAUUCAUUACAAUCAAUAAAAUGCAAAAUAUAUACAUCUUACAAUGGUGAAUUAUGGUAAUAAUCACCAAAGGAAAGCAAACAAAAUCUCAAUCAAUUCCCUUAUAUAAAGGGAUUACAGAUUCCUAAAUAUACAGCAAGGAUUAUUUCCAAAGUUGAGUUGCUGUAAUCUUGGCCAAUUUUAACACUCCCCCCCCCCCAAGUUGAAGCAUGUAUAUCCAACAUGUUCAACUUGCUUCUUAGUUCCUUAAAUGCAUUUCCUCCUAGAGCUUUCGUAAAAACAUCUACCAACUGCAAGUAUGAUAGAACAAAUUUUGUUAUAAUCUGACCACCUUGUAUCUUUUCUCUUACAACAUGAUAGUCGAGUUCUAUAUGCUUGGUACACUCAUGAUAUACUAGAUUUACUACUAUGUGAAGUACAGCUUGAUUAGCACACAGUAGCUUUGCUGGUCCUGUUGACAUGUGUAUGUCAUUUAGCAAAAAUUUGAGCCAAGUUAGUCCACAAGUUGCGGCUGCAAUGGACCCAUAUUUAGCUUCUGAGGAUGAUCUUGAAACUAUUUUUUGUUUCUUUGUUUUCCAUGAGAUCAGUGAAUUUUCCAAGAAUACACAAUAACCUGUAGUUGAUCUUCUAGUCAUAGGAGAGUUUGCCCAAUUUGCAUCGCAAUAAGCCUUCAAGUUGAAAUAAUUUCUUGAUGAAAACAAUAGGCCCAGACCUAGACAACCUUUAAGAUAUUUAAUGGCAGUCGAGUUCUAUAUGCUUGGUACACUCAUGAUAAACUAGAUUUACUACUAUGUGAAGUACAGCUUGAUUAGCACACAGUAGCUUUGCUGGUCCUGUUGACAUGUGUAUGUCAUUUAGCAAAAAUUUGAGCCAAGUUAGUCCACAAGUUGCGGCUGCAAUGGACCCGUAUUUAGCUUCUGAUGAUGAUCUUGAAACUAUUUUUUGUUUCUUUGUUUUCCAUGAGAUCAGUGAAUUUUCCAAGAAUACACAAUAACCUGUAGUUGAUCUUCUAGUCAUAGGAGAGUUUGCCCAAUUUACAUCGCAAUAAGCCUUCAAGUUGAAAUAAUUUCUUGAUGAAAACAAUAGGCCCAGACCUAGACAACCUUUAAGAUAUUUAAUGGUGUGAAGAAUGGCAUCCCAAUGAGGCUUUCUUGGCACAUGCAUAAAUUGACUUAGAAUGUUAACUGAGUAUGCAAUAUCUGGUCUUGUGAUUGUGAGAUAGAUUAGCUGUCCAACUAAUCUCAUAUGGUGCUCUGGAUCAUGUAGCAAGUCACCUUGAUCAUUCGUGAGCUUCAGGUUCAUUUCCACUGGGAAAUUUGAAGGCUGAGCACCUAAGUAACCAAUAUAAUUUAUAAUCUCUAAAGUGUAUUUUUUAUUAGAGAUAACAAUACCUACUUUGGAUCUUGCAACUUCCUACCCAAGAAAGAAUUUUAGAGGGCCUAGAUCCUUUAUGUAAAAUUGUUUGUUAGAAAAUGUUUCAGACUUUGUAUAGUAGCAUUAUUAUUGCUCGUUAUCACUAUGUCAUCUAUAUAGAUAAGCACCAUAGUUGUGGAUGCACCUUUAGUCUUCACAAAUAAGGAAUAGUUUGAAUGUGAUUGAAUAAAGCCAGUUUUGAUAGCUUGAUAGAAUUUGCAAACCAGUUUCGAUGGGCUCAUUUAAGUCCAUAGAGGGACUUAUAGAGUCAUGUAUACAUCUUCUUCUAAAUCACCAUGGAGAAAGGCAUUUGUUACAUCCAUUUGAUACAAUGGCCAUUGUGUGGCUACAACAACGGCAAGAACAUAUUGAAUUGUUGUCAACUUGGCAAUAGGAGCAGAUGUUUUAUAAUCCAAGCCUUCUUGCUGAGAAAAUCCUUUAGCAACUAAUUGAGCUUUGUAGCCUUUGAUCAUACCUUUGGAAUUGUACUUGAUAUGAUAUACCCAUUUACAACCAAUGGGAUGAUGACCAGAGGAUAAUGGAACCAGAGACCAUGUCUUUUGAGCAUUAAGUACAUCAAGUUCAAGCCGUAUGGCCUCUUGCCAUUUAGGAUCUGUGGCUGUCUAUGUAUAAGAAGUGGGUUCUAGAAUGCUGUAAAUAGUGUUAACGAAAUGUUUAUGUUGAGAUGACAAGGAAUCAUAGGAAAUCUAGUUACUUAAAGGAUAUCAAGUACCUAACUUAGUUGAAGAAUCUUGGAUUAGAGAUGCAGUUAGUGGUGAUGUACUAGCAUGUCCACAGUGAAAAUCUUGAAGGUGAAUGGAUAGUUUUUUGGUGCGUUCACUUCUACGAAGAAAAGGUGUUGCAGAUGUCAUUGGCGAAGGAGAAUGAGGGAUAGGAGUGAUCUCAAGUAAUGGCGAUUCUGUUGCAUUGGGAAGAGGAAGUGAAUUGAUAUGGUAUUCAGUUAACUUAGGUUGUGAGACAGAAUUUUCUAUUGAGAUUUCGGAAUCAUGGAAAGUGAAAACUUCCUCAUGAAAAAUGACAUCACGGCCGGAGAAAAAUUGGUGAUUGUUGUGGUCAUAUAAACGAUAGGCUUUUUUUCUAUGGGUAACCAACAAAGGUGCAUUUUCUUGCAGGAGAAUCAAAUUUAUGCGAUGGGUGCAAAUUUGUUGCAUAACAAGGACAUCCAAAAACUCUUAAAUUAGAAUAAUUUGGUGGCUUGUUAUACAACAUUUCAUAUGGAGAUUUGUAGUGAAGUACUGGAGUGGGAAGAUGAUUAAUCAGGUAUGUGGCAGUAAGUAAACUCUCUCCCCAAAAUUUUAAGGGGAGAUUAGCAUGAAGUCUUAAGGCCUUGCCAAUGUUUAAAAGGUGCUGAUGUUUUCAUUCAACCACACCAUUUUGUUGAGAUAUAGAUGGACAAAAACUUUGGAAUAAAAUACCAAGACUGGAAAAUAUGACUUCAUGGAUGUGAAUUACGAGUCAUUAUCACUUCGAAUACAUUUAAUUUGGCAAUUAAACUGAGCUUUAACAAAAGAGACAAGUUUUUAGCAACCGUUACGUUUCAGAUUUGAACUUUAUUAAAAAUAUCUCAGUGUAGUGAGUAUAAUCAUCAACGAGAGUUAAAAAAUAAUGAGCUCCUAUAUGAGUUGCAAUACAAAGAGGUCCCCAAAUGUUACAAUGAAUAAGAUCGAAUGAAUGUGAAGUUUGAAUUAAACUAGAAUGAAAAGGAAAUCUUGUUUGCUUAGCUAAAUGACAAGUUUCGCAAAAGUACUUAGGAUCAAAUACUAUAGAUGGAAAAACAUGACUUAAAAACUGUAAAGGUCUCCUUGAUGGAUGUCCUAACCACUGGUGCCAUGGAAUUUUAGUUGUGGAGUCCACGUGGAGUCCACGAAAUAGUAAAAGCCAUUAAGUUGGUUCCCCAAGGCAAUCAUUUUCUUCGAAGUUAUGUCCUACAAUACACAAAAAGUAGGAUAGAAGUAGAUUGAACAAUUCAUGGUAGUUGUGAGUUGACUAACUGACAACAAAUUGACAUUGAAAGAAGGAGCACAGAGGUUGUUUUUAACAUGUAUGUGAUCUGAAAGUUGUGUAGAACCAACGAUAAUUAUUUCAGAGUGAGCACCAUUAGGCAAGGUCACUUGAGAAGAGAAGUGAGAGGUAAUAGAGACAGAUGUGGCUAUGUGAUUAGUAUCACCACUAUCGAUAAUCCAGUGGUUCAAAGUUGUCUUUUGUGUGAUAAAGGAGAAGCGGAAAGGAAAAGGGAUACCUGCAUAAUUUGCUUGAGAAAAGUUUUUACCAUUGAGAAGGGCUUUAAUUUGAGUGAGUUCUUCAGGAGUGAAUUGAAAAGCAGCAUUCAUGGAAGCCAUGUGGGGUUGGUGACUGAUCUGAUUGCUUGCUUGGUGAGCAGUAGGUUUUCUGCUCCAAUUCGACGGCUGAACUUCUUUUCCAUGAAGUUUAUGACCAGGUGGAAAACCAUUUAGAUAAUAGCAACGGUCCAGAGUAUGGGUAGUGCCUUCAUAGUAAGAACACAAUUGUGAUUUUCGAUCCCUUUGUGACCUUGAAUGAGAGGCUGACCAUUGUUUCUUUUGGCGUGAAGAAGCAGAUUGUGUUUCCCUAGAAUUGUCAUAAGUAUUGAUAUUCAUGACAUGAAUAAGAUCACUACUCUUUGUUUCAAUGAGACCUUGCUGCUUUUCUUCUUCACAUAGGAGGGAGUAUGCUUUUUUUUACAGUUGGUAAAGGCUACAUGAGCAUGAUUUUUCCCUGAACAACAUAGUAUGUUUCAUUUAAUCCCAUAAGGAAUUGUUGAAGUCGAAUUCUUUCUUCUUUGCCUUUUAAAUCUUUUAGUGCUCCAUAGGUAUAAUUGAUUAAGGGACUGCAAGUGGCAAGUUCAUCCCACAGCAUUUUCAUCUUUGUGUAAUAAGAGAAAAUUGAUUCUUGGUCUUGUUUUAGUUCAACAAUGGAUUUCUGAAUUUGAUAAUGAUGAGAAAAAUCACCGUGAGAGAAUUGCUCUUGAAGAUCUGUCCAGACUUCUGAAGGCAUUUCAGCAUAUAGUACAUUAUUUGUUAGCUUUAAACUUAGAGAAAUGAAUAUCCAAUAAGCACCAUAUCAUUGCAUCGUUGCCAUAGAGGAUAUUUUGGAUCUUUUUCAUCUGAGAUAUAUACAAUUCCUUUGAUGAAUCCUAACUUGUUCUUGGCACUAAGACUUAUCAGCAUGAAUCUUUUCCACAUGGCAUAAUUUGUUCCAUCCAAUACCUUUGGAAUGAAGAUCAUGCCAGGAUGAUUGGAAGGGUGAAGGAAUAAUAGAUCUAUGGGAUCAAUUGUUGGGAUAGACAUGAUCAGAAAGGUCGAAAAUUUUCAAUAGUAAUGGAUCAAUGCUCUGAUACCAUAAUAGAUUAAAGGCUUGUGGAAGCUUGUUUUUUAUUCCUCAUUCAUUACAAUCAAUAAACUGCAAAAUAUAUACAUCUUACAAUGGUGAAUAACAGUAAUAAUCACCAAAGGAAAGCAAAUAAAAUCUGAUUCAAUUCUCUUAUAUAAAGGGACUACAGAUUCCUAAAUAUAUAGUAAGGAUUAUUUCCAAAGUUGAGUUGCUAUAAUCGUGGCAAAUCUUAAUAGGUUCAUCCUUGAAGUCAUCAUUUCGAAUUUUGAUUUUAAUUCUUAAAGAAUGAUAAACUUGUGAAUUAUACAUAUUGUGAUGAUAAACUGGCUUUAAUACUGGUUGAGUAAACUCUUAAACUUAAAAAUUUUUUUUUUCAUUCAAAUUCUUGAGAUGGAUUUUGAAUUUUUCUGUAAUUCAACAUUGCAAUAAAUUAGUUGUACUUUUGAUGUUGGAUUUCACUUGCUGAACUUAGAAGCAACCAGGAAAGAAAUAUUUUGACCUAUAUUGGUGUCUAAUCAUAAUCAGUACUUCGUAAGCUUAUUAAUAUUUCAUGAUUAACAUAGAUAUGUUAAUUAUGUUGAAUUUAACAUAUUUAAGAAUGGGGAAAAACAUAUGAUAGAUUCAAUAAUUGUUGUAACACAGCCAGAUAAUUUUCCAAAGAUGCACCCUUAUACCAUGCGAUGAGAAUACAACCUUUGCUUCAGAUGCAAUUUACUCGUCGAACUUUUAGUCAUGCAUAAUUGCACCAGCUUCAACCACAACAAAGCUUCUGUCUUCUCUUUUAAAACAUCCUUAAGAAUAUUGUUACAGAGGUGAAGAUAAAUCUGUGAAAGUGCAUUCCAAUCCUUCCAUCAUUUCUCCUCUAUUGUCUAAAUUGUGGGCAUCUUGUUAAAUCCAAACAGCGCAUCAUCCAAAUCCAUCUGCACCAAUACAAUUAGCACCUUCACUUGCCACAAUGAAAAUCAAGUAUUACAAUCCAAAAGCGAAAUUUUAUAUUUCAGGGCUGUCAUCGAUAACAGAAAAUCUCAAACAAAAUCACAACUUUGCUCUGAUACAAUUGUUAGAAAUAAACAAGUUAUCAGAAUAGCUCUAAUACCACUUGUUAUGAUAUACAAUAUGAAGUAUAUGAUCGCACACAGAAAAUAAGACAUAGAUUGGCAGAGGUACCGAGUAUUUUAUCUGACAAUCAAUGGAGAAAAUAAUAUUGUUGCAGCAAUCUCAACAAUUUUUAAACUAAAUGAAGAGUCUAUUAUUUAUAGAGUACAUGUCAAAUCCCUAUAGGUAACCUGUCAAAUCACCAGAAGUAACCAAAAAAUGGAAACUAGAUCAAAAUACGCGUGAAACCAACAUAAAGAGAAAAUCCUGGACAGUGUUGUCACUUGAGCGACAUCUAGUGCCAAGUGAGUGAUUGUCCUUUCACUCGAGUGAGAGGUCGGCGAUAGGCAAACAACAGGUCUCUGCUCCUAAUGUUCGUAGUAAAAAUGCGGCGAUUUUUCUUUCCGAUUCACAAUUUUGAGUUCUUUAAGACCACUUUAACAAAAAGUCCAAUAAUCACUAGAUUUGGAUCAAACUACAACAGCUAAGUGCAAUUGGUAAAUUUUUAACAAAGAGAUCGACCUAAAAAUCACAACGAGGUAAUUGAACAUCAGUCUUAAACUUCAUGGGUAAUUUGGAAAUGAUCUUUUACGGAGUGAGGAUUAAACAGAUCCGAUUUAAUCGAUUCUAGACAAGUAUAAGAUAAAGAUAUGCUAAAUAUGAGUUACUUUACAUUUAUUGUUAAGCUCAAGAAAAGUUUAUAUUGUCAGGAAAAUUUUGGCCUGGAUUCCCAAACUAUAACCCCUUCACAUUCGAAUUUUCAUAGUUUUUAAAUCCUAAAAUUUUGAUUUAUUUGGGGGUGGGGGGUUUCGAUGAAACUGUUAAAAAUAUGUUACCAAUCAUUUGAAAUAUUCAUUUAAAGGAAUUUUAGUUCAUCACCUCUAUUUCUUUGGAGGAGGAGGAGGAGGAGAAAGAUGACGAGGAUGACGACGACAAACAAUAAAAGAAAGGAGAAUGAAAACAGGAAAAAAAAUAUGAAAAACGGAAAAAUAAAAUAAAAUUCUCCUGACAGAUAAAUAUUUAUUUAAGAUCACUAGUAUAAAAGGAUGUUUAACUAAAUAAAAAAUUGUUAUAACAAAGUAGUGUCAAGGUUCCUUGGAAUCGAUAUUUAGUUGGCAUCUCUCUAGGAAAAGAAUAGUACAUUAGUCUAAUUAAAAAAUAAAUAAAUAAAUAAACUCGCAUUUUGGCCUUGCAUUAAACCGAGGUUCCUUAGCAAUGAUAUUCAAGAAGUUACAAUUGCUAUUUAGUUGAGUAAUCUAUUCAACUUUUAUUUUUAUUUUUAAUUUCAUAUGAGUGAAUAUCAUUUUUCACAGUUUCAAAGUUAUUAACAAAAAUAACGAGUAAAUAAUACAAUUAAUUUUUCUAAUGGAUAUGAAUUAAAGAUAAUUAACACUUUGGCAAACAGUUGGAUCAUUAGAAAAAAUUUGAAAAAUUAUAUUAACAUAAUUUAAUCUCUAAUUGCCAGUUAAUAAAUAUUAUGGUGGACUUUUUGAAAGGUAUUCCACGGAGUUUUCUUCAAAGUUGCUUAAUUUUAUUAAAAAUCUAAUUUAAAAAAAAAAAAAAAAAAUUUUGAGCUUCCAAAAUGUUUCCUUUCAAUUUUAGAGACACGUUUUAAACGAAAGCAUUAGCAUUCUAGACGUCUUUAAACAGUCUAGUAUAGGGUUCAGGGAGUGGGAGGGUUGGCAGCCGAACUUUGGCUUAUUAACAUACUAAUUUAAAUGCUUAGGCAUUUUCUCCUCUAUAAAUUGAGACCAAGCCCCAGCAAUGCAUCAAGCAUCUCCGACAAUCUCUUCCUUUUAAAGAUGAAGGCAUCAGGUAUUGCACUCUACGUUGUUCUCCUACUAGCCGUAGCCGAGCCACUUGUUUUCGCGGCAGGAGGAUGUGUUAUGAGUGAACUGCUACCUUGCGCAUCUGCCAUCGCGUCUGGUACUCCACCUUCAGUAGAGUGCUGCACUAAUUUAAAGCAACAGCAGCCUUGCUUUUGCCAGUACCUCAAAGACCCAAGCUCAAAACAGUAUGUUAACUCUCCCAACGCCAUGAAGGUUGCUCGUGCUUGUGGAGUGUCUAUUCCCACUAAUUGUUAACUAUCUAUGCUUAUGCCAAGAGAGUACUUAGGA